Molecule: long non-coding RNA, 2187 nt
Organism: Scylla paramamosain (green mud crab)
Lineage: Eukaryota; Metazoa; Arthropoda; Malacostraca; Decapoda; Portunidae
Exons: 3
Source: RefSeq, a predicted model, not a curated record
UCUCGUAUUUUUCCCAUUAUUGAUUUCUCAUGUUCUUAUUUUGCAAUGCCUUAGCUGUAAAUGAUGAAGCAAUCCAAUUAUAUACAUGAAUUUGUGUCACUUGAAGCGAACCUACAUGACCCACCAAGAGACCGCGGGCUUAUAUAUUCUAGGAUUUUCUUUCUUAUAAUUAUUUGAGCGCUCAUCUCUGGUCUUUUUCGUAUUUUUUCCAGCAUUAAUUUCUCAUGUUCUUAUUUUGCAAUGCCUUAGCUGUUAUUAUAUUAAAGUAUUAUUUAUCUACAUAUGAGUAUUACUGUAAAUGUGUGCCAUUCGAAAGAAGUAUGUGCUCAUAUGUAAACAAGACCUGACAACAACAAUUUAAACUCCAUGGACCCAACUCCAAACACUCAGGAGGAACCAAACUGGUCAAAUGAUGAAACAGUGCGUUUGGUUAACAUCAUGGCAUAAAAACAAUGUAUAGUAAAGGGACGGUUUCACGCUUCCCUGACCCAUGCAGAUAAGAAACCUGCAUGGGAAGACCUUAUGAACUCUGUAAAUGCAUGCCUGCAAUUUACAUGUGAAAAGAACUGAAGAACAAGUUGUAAACUUGUCAAGUGCUGUCCCACUCACGGAAGAAGAUUGCCAAUAUCAACAAAGAGCAGAAUCAAUCAGAACGACUGUACGAGCUCCGCAAGACAAGCCUGGCCCGGGUGAUCUGCGACGACAGUGAACGCAAGCUACGGUACGUCCAGCCCAAAGUAAUGCUGGAGGCCGACUCUUUCCUAUGAAAAAGGAGCCACUGAGGUGCUGGUCCUUAACCACAAAUUAAAAUAACAAGAAGAAGCAUCGGCCAAGAAGAGAUUACGCGUGGAAAGAGGAAGGAUUGGGGCUCGGCUCACGGCAACAGCACCCGUGUGUGCGUUCUUGGGCCGUUCCGGAUCUGUGGACUUCCGGCGAGCAAAUCCCUUCUUUUAAAGCUGGGUGUUGACUGACCUCUGACAACCUGACUGGUGGUGAGUCCAUUCCAGACUAUUCCAGUCACCCACCACUCUUUUUGACAACCAAUUCCUCCAUACCUAACUGUCACAAGCCUCACUCCACUACCACACAGGGUCAAGCAGAGGUCACUACGAGGGUAAAGGUCAAUUUUAAGGCCGUAUAAUUUCAAAGUAUAAUCACGGAGUACCACAAUAAAAAUACAAACACAAUCUCUUCAAAUCAUAAUGGAUGAACAAACUCACACACACACACACACACACACACACACACACACACAAGCCAGACAUGAACACCACCACCACUGGUCAUUGCUUGUUUGAGAGCAGAGAUAAAAUACUGGACAACUUCUUGACUUGGUAAUGCUGUGUCCACCAUCUGAGGUCCAUUCCUGCAGUCACUGACAGCUGCACUCAGCUAAGUGGAGGAAAGGAAAGUCUGAGUGUGAUGCAGGUGGUGGUGGUGGUGGUGGUGGUGGUGGUGGUGUGGUGUGGUGUGGUAUAUUGGUGUUGAUAGAUGAAAAGAAUUAAAGUCAAAGGAAAUUAUCAGAAAAAAUAAGAGAAGAAGAGAAUGUGGAAGAUCUGAGAGACACAACAAGCACAACAGACCAUUCAGGGCAAGACAGAACAAAAGGUGUUUUACUGACUAUACAACAAGCAUGACAGACACAGGACAAUGGAGGACAGGCAAGUCUACCCCUUGAAGCACAGCAACGCAGAACAAGGAAAAAAAAGCACAACAGCUUCUCAGUCAGGACAAAACAGAAGAACAGCACACCAUUUCUUCCUCUGUGCCAGAAAACAUUGUAAAGCAGCCACGUUUCAGACCAGGCCAGGCACAGAUGUACUGAACCAAUAGCAAACCACAGACACACACAAGCCAACUAACACACAAACACACAAACAUAUAUUAUUUAGAGCCAUGCACAUAAACAAACACAAAUAUUAAGUUAUGUUGCUUGAAUUUUUUUUUUUUUAGGCAUGCAAUAAAAUUAUUAAAGAUGCUGUUUGCAAAAUACUAAGCACAAUGUAACUAUACACAAAAAUUUAUGAUGCAUUGGUUAAGACCUGUAGUGUGUGUGUGUGUGUGUGUGUGUGUGUGUGUGUGUGUGUGUGUGUGUGUGUGUGUGUGUGUUUGUAAUUACUUUGAAUAUAACUUUAUGUCAAACUUCAUUGAAUUCACCAAAUAAAUAAAUAUUCAUAAAAUAUCAAA